UCCGUAGGGUGACCUGCGGAGGGAUCAUUACCGAGUUUACAACUCCCAAACCCCUGUGAACAUACCACUUGUUGCCUCGGCGGAUCAGCCCGCUCCCGGUAAAACGGGACGGCCCGCCAGAGGACCCCUAAACUCUGUUUCUAUAUGUAACUUCUGAGUAAAACCAUAAAUAAAUCAAAACUUUCAACAACGGAUCUCUUGGUUCUGGCAUCGAUGAAGAACGCAGCAAAAUGCGAUAAGUAAUGUGAAUUGCAGAAUUCAGUGAAUCAUCGAAUCUUUGAACGCACAUUGCGCCCGCCAGUAUUCUGGCGGGCAUGCCUGUUCGAGCGUCAUUUCAACCCUCAAGCACAGCUUGGUGUUGGGACUCGCGUUAAUUCGCGUUCCCCAAAUUGAUUGGCGGUCACGUCGAGCUUCCAUAGCGUAGUAGUAAAACCCUCGUUACUGGUAAUCGUCGCGGCCACGCCGUUAAACCCCAACUUCUGAAUGUGACCUCGGAUCAGGUAGGAAUACCCGCUGAACUUAAGCAUAUCAAUAAG
This 536-nucleotide ribosomal RNA is filed under the name Fusarium oxysporum. Its description in RNAcentral is "eukaryotic LSU rRNA". The stretch from base 179 to 332 matches the Rfam family "5.8S ribosomal RNA". The record is from RNAcentral. Lineage: Eukaryota; Fungi; Ascomycota; Sordariomycetes; Hypocreales; Nectriaceae.